ACAUAGCUUUCAGUAAAGCCUUUGGCUUGAAGGAUUGGAGGUGAGGCCUGCCCAAUGGUUGUAUCUAAAUUUAGAUAAUAAACAAGUUAUUUGAUUAAAGACAAUUCAAUGGCCGCGGUAACUCUGACCGUGAUAAUGUAGCGAAAUAAAUAGCCAAUUAAUUGUUGGCCAGUAUGAAUGGCGUAACGAAUGCCCUACUGUCUCAAGAUAAAGACCAAUGAAAUUGAAAUUGUAGUGAAGAUGCUACAAACAAAUUGUAAGACGAGAAGACCCCGUUGAGCUUUACUGGUGGCUUAAAUAAUUUUUAAAGUUAAGGUGUAGAUUAUGUGGGAAUAUCUGUAAAUUCCACUCUUUAGAUAUAAAAAAUUAACCGAUAUUUAUUGGGAAGUUUAAGUUGGACAGUUUGGUUGGGGCGACCGCCUUCUAAAGAGUAACGAAGGCGAACAAAGGUAAAUAAGAUAAUAGUUUAAAGUAAAGCCUGAUAGCAAGGGGGACCUCCAAGCUGACACAGGUUUAAUGAUAUAAGAUGAAUUAAUACUGUGGGUUAUAAUGACCCGUUAGUUACGAGUGGGUGUACUAACGAGCAACGAAUAAAAGUUACCAGGGGGAUAACAGCGUAAUCUCGUUUGAGAGUUCAUAUUGAUGACGAUGUU
RNAcentral lists this ribosomal RNA (653 nucleotides) under Tedania ignis. RNAcentral's name for it is "partial 16S ribosomal RNA". It matches the Rfam family "Bacterial large subunit ribosomal RNA", at positions 1813 to 2518 of the family's 2925-position model. Lineage: Eukaryota; Metazoa; Porifera; Demospongiae; Poecilosclerida; Tedaniidae. The record is from RNAcentral.